Molecule: ribosomal RNA, 465 nt
Filed under: Vreelandella stevensii
Lineage: Bacteria; Pseudomonadati; Pseudomonadota; Gammaproteobacteria; Oceanospirillales; Halomonadaceae
Description: partial 16S ribosomal RNA
Rfam family: Bacterial small subunit ribosomal RNA
Source: RNAcentral
CCUACGGGGUGCAGCAGUGGGGAAUAUUGGACAAUGGGCGAAAGCCUGAUCCAGCCAUGCCGCGUGUGUGAAGAAGGCCUUCGGGUUGUAAAGCACUUUCAGUGGGGAAGAAAGCCUUGGGGCUAAUACCCUCGAGGAAGGACAUCACCCACAGAAGAAGCACCGGCUAACUCCGUGCCAGCAGCCGCGGUAAUACGGAGGGUGCGAGCGUUAAUCGGAAUUACUGGGCGUAAAGCGCGCGUAGGCGGUCUGAUAAGCCGGUUGUGAAAGCCCCGGGCUCAACCUGGGAACGGCAUCCGGAACUGUCAGGCUAGAGUGCAGGAGAGGAAGGUAGAAUUCCCGGUGUAGCGGUGAAAUGCGUAGAGAUCGGGAGGAAUACCAGUGGCGAAGGCGGUCUUCUGGACUGACACUGACGCUGAGGUGCGAAAGCGUGGGUAGCAAACAGGAUUAGAUACCCUAGUAGUC